CCUACGGGUGGCAGCAGUGAGGAAUAUUGGUCAAUGGGCUCGCGCCUGAACCAGCCAAGUCGCGUGAGGGAAGACUGUCCUAUGGAUUGUAAACCUCUUUUGUCAGGGAGCAACGCCGGCCACGUGUAGCCUGACUGGGAGUACCUGAGGAAAAGGCACGGGCUACAUCCGUGCCAGCACCGGCGGUAAUACGGAGGAUGCGAGGGUUAUCCGGAUUUAUUGGGUUUAAAGGGGGCGUAGGCGGAACUCCAAGUCAGCGGUAAAAUCGAGAGGCUCAACCUCGCUCAGCCGUUGAAACUGGCGUUCUUGAGUGGGCGAGAAGUAUGCGGAAUGCGUGGUGUAGCGGUGAAAUGCAUAGAUAUCACGCAGAACUCCGAUUGCGAAGGCAGCAUACCGGCGCCCAACUGACGCUGAAGCACGAAAGCGUGGGUAUCGAACAGGAUUAGAUACCCGAGUAGUC
RNAcentral lists this ribosomal RNA (460 nucleotides) under uncultured bacterium. RNAcentral's name for it is "partial 16S ribosomal RNA". It matches the Rfam family "Bacterial small subunit ribosomal RNA", at positions 338 to 795 of the family's 1533-position model. The record is from RNAcentral.